Molecule: long non-coding RNA, 1176 nt
Organism: Passer domesticus (house sparrow)
Lineage: Eukaryota; Metazoa; Chordata; Aves; Passeriformes; Passeridae
Exons: 4
Source: RefSeq, a predicted model, not a curated record
AUUGAUAUAAGUGACUGACUUUCUGGCUUUUCACAUGCACUUGGGAAAGGCCUGAACUGCCCAAGCCCAUUGUCCACAUUAUGCUCCCAUUUGUAUUCAAUAUAUAGGGAAAGGGAAGACUCACUCCAGUGUUUUUGAGGAUCUGAUGGCAAUGCACUGUAGCUCACUUCUGCAGAAACAUGUGGCACUGUCCAAAGCAGAAGAGAAAUAGGAGAAGCAGUCAGUGCAGAAGCAAAGAAUCAUAGAAGAUCCUGAGUUGGCAGGAAUCCACAAAAAUCAUAGAAGUCCAGUUCCUGGCUCUGAACAGGGCAGCCCCAAGGGUCACACCAUGUGCCUGAGAGUGUUGCCAAACACUUCUUGAACUCUGUCAGGUCCUGUCACUGGUCACCAGAGAGGAGAUCAGUGCCUGCCCCUCCUCUUGCCCUCAUGGGGAUGUUGAAGACCACAGUGAGGUCUCCCCUCUGUCUCCUCCAGGCUGAACAAGCCGAGUGACCUCAGUUGCUCCUGGUAUGGCUUCCCCUCAAGGCCCCUUCACCAUCUUUGUUGCCCUCCUUUGGAUGAUCUCUAACAGCUUCAUGGUUGCUUUAUAUUGUGGCAUCCAAAACUGCCACAGCACUCGAGGGCUAAAUAUUCAGAUAAAGCUCUUCAUUAUGUAACUUCUACUAGUAUUUCAAUUGUUUUGAUGGAGAGGAAUUUGCAAAUACACCCUUAACUUUGUGAAAAUCUUCAAGGAGAACUACCACCAUGAAUAAAGAUGUAAUUGUGGAGACUCUCAUAGAAUAAGACUAGGAAUUUCUGAAAAACCUACAGAUUAACCAUGACGGGAAAAGAUUCUACAGUAGGGUAACAUUUCCCAAAGUUAUGGGAACAUCAACCAGCCCAAAGACAGCUAAAGAUUAUGAAGAAAAUGAAACAACAUCAUUAUUAGUGGCUAUGAGCAGCUUGCAAAAUGAAGACUGGAGGCAGACGCAAAGGUGCAAGUGUGGCUGAGGUAUUAUGCUGAAAAGGAAAAACAGAGUUUGAUCCAGUGAGUAAAUUGACUGGAGUAAAUGGAGAAGCAAAAGUGAAGCAGCUUAAAAAAAAUAAUAAGAGUACCACAAGAAAAAAAAAAAACAAACCCAUGAAAAUGAAUGGUAUUCUUUUUGACUUUGGCUUAAGAUGGAAGCUCUUCUCAAU